CUGACCCUAUUCAGGUACAUUACAACUCCAGAGAAAGAAAACUUGAGGAGACAAGAAUACUCCCCUAGCCCACCCAGCCAUAGUAUUUGUCUGACAGCUCCAACAGUUGAACUGGACCCUACCUUCUCAUCUGUCAAAUUAGAGGCUCCAGACGGAGAAUCUCAACACAGAGAGAUCAUGACUGGAUUUGUGGUAAGAAGGAACUGGAGAGGCGUCAGUCCACACCACCCCUUAUAUGCUUGGUUCGGAGCACGAGGAGAACAACUACACAGUGCAAAUGACUCUACUUGCUAGAAAUCUCCAAUCUCAGGCAUAUGGUCCUCAGGCAUAGCUGCGUGUGGAAUACAGAUAGUGACUGCACAUCUAGAAGAACCUUCAGUUACAGUUCCAUGGGUAGCCUGAAAAUCCGUCUGACAGAGGACAAACUUUGCCACCAUUCCCCUGCACUUCAGAUUGUUGAGAACACCUCAGAAUCCCUCCAAAUUUUCGCCAUGAACUUAAUUGCCAUUAUACAUGUCACAUUGUGCCCCUGGGAAGAGGACAGAGCUCUGUGGUUUCAUAAGGCCAAAAUUAGCAUUGUUUGGUUACCUGUGGUGAGGAAACACCCCCUUAUAAUAGAGAAUAUUCUCCACAGCCACACAGCAGAAAGAUACAGUAGCAUUCCUGCAAGACGGUGUGAAUAUUCCCAAUUUAAACAAUGAUGGCAUCAAAA
Chelonoidis abingdonii (Abingdon island giant tortoise) is the source of this 712-nucleotide non-coding RNA. NCBI's taxonomy places the organism in Eukaryota, Metazoa, Chordata, Testudines, Testudinidae. The record is from RefSeq and is a predicted model, not a curated record.